Molecule: unclassified non-coding RNA, 202 nt
Filed under: soil metagenome
Description: partial contains 5.8S ribosomal RNA, internal transcribed spacer 2, and large subunit ribosomal RNA
Source: RNAcentral
AACCAUUCUCACCUGCGGCUAGACCUGCGGAAGGAUCAUUACCUAGAGUUGUAGGCUUUGCCUGCUAUCUCUUACCCAUGUCUUUUGAGUACCUUACGUUUCCUCGGCGGGUUCGCCCGCCGGUUGGACAAAACUUAAACCCUUUGUAGUUGCAAUCAGCGUCUGAAAAAACUUAAUAGUUACAACUUUUAACAACGGAUCU